RNAcentral lists this long non-coding RNA (421 nucleotides) under Salvator merianae (Argentine black and white tegu). RNAcentral describes it as "lncRNA (ENSSMRG00000014514.1)". Lineage: Eukaryota; Metazoa; Chordata; Lepidosauria; Squamata; Teiidae. The record is from RNAcentral.
GAGGACAAGGAGAAAGAAGGCGGCGGCCGCCGGGUCCACCCCUUGCCUUCGACGGUCCAGCAGUGCCGCCGCGCGCUCACUGGCGCGGAAAUGCUGGCUGCUGAGCCCAGGUGAAGGGGCCGGCCCGUUCCCCCUCAUAGGCGCGAGCAGCCGCCUCAGUCGCUAAGUCGGAGGUCGCCAGCCCGUCGCUACGUCGGUCGUCCAAAUGGAGCUGCUGCGCUUUGGGAGCGCCAAGCGGCUCCUCCGCGUCUGGAUUCUGCCGGCCUUGUUGUCGUGGAGCGCGGCGGUGCAGCUGUCCCCAAGGAGCGCCACUGUCGGCCACACAAGGAAUGGAAGCAGUGCAGUACCUCAGAAAGGAGAUCCCAGCGCCCUGGGAGAGCAGGUAAGGAUCACCUUAUGGGAGCUGUUUUUCUGGCUUUUA